This 62-nucleotide transfer RNA is filed under the name Dalailama vadim. Its description in RNAcentral is "tRNA-Ser". The record is from RNAcentral. Lineage: Eukaryota; Metazoa; Arthropoda; Insecta; Lepidoptera; Endromidae.
GAAAUAUAAAUUAAAUAAAGCUGCUAACUUUAUUUCUAGUGAUUAAAUCCAUUAAUAUUUCU